Molecule: ribosomal RNA, 235 nt
Filed under: uncultured bacterium
Lineage: Bacteria
Description: partial 16S ribosomal RNA
Rfam family: Bacterial small subunit ribosomal RNA
Source: RNAcentral
UGGCGGACGGGUGAGUAAUGUCUGGGGAAACUGCCUGAUGGAGGGGGAUAACUACUGGAAACGGUAGCUAAUACCGCAUAACGUCGCAAGACCAAAGAGGGGGACCUUCGGGCCUCUUGCCAUCGGAUGUGCCCAGAUGGGAUUAGCUAGUAGGUGGGGUAACGGCUCACCAGGCGACGAUCCCUAGCUGGUCUGAGAGGAUGACCAGCCACACUGGAACUGAGACACGGUCCAG